UACGUAGGGGGCCAGCGUUGUCCGGAAUCAUUGGGCGUAAAGCGCGCGUAGGCGGCCAGAUAAGUCCGGUGUGAAAGUCAAAGGCUCAACCUUUGAAUGCCGCUGGAAACUGUCUGGCUUGAGUCCGGAAGGGGCGAGUGGAAUUCCGCGUGUAGCAGUGAAAUGCGUAGAUAUGCGGAGGAACACCGAUGGCGAAGGCAAUCCCCUGGGCCUGCACUGACGCUCAUGCACGAAAGCGUGGGGAGCAAACAGG
RNAcentral lists this ribosomal RNA (253 nucleotides) under uncultured bacterium. RNAcentral describes it as "partial 16S ribosomal RNA". It matches the Rfam family "Bacterial small subunit ribosomal RNA", at positions 524 to 776 of the family's 1533-position model. The record is from RNAcentral.